Long non-coding RNA from Sinocyclocheilus rhinocerous, 273 nucleotides. RefSeq lists it as uncharacterized. The record is from RefSeq and is a predicted model, not a curated record. NCBI's taxonomy places the organism in Eukaryota, Metazoa, Chordata, Actinopteri, Cypriniformes, Cyprinidae. The transcript is spliced from 3 exons.
CACACCGUCCCAUGAAGAACCCUACAAGAUCCACCAAUCCAGCGCCUACUGCAGUGGAGAAGAUAUGGCCAGUGAUGUAUUCAUUGACUUUCCCGACCAACUCUCUCACCUGGAAGGGAUGCUUAGGCGACUGAGUGGUGACCUGCUGAAGGAGAAGAGAGACAAGGUGGCUCUUCUGGCAGAGGUGUUGAAGCUUCGCAUUAGCAACCAACAUCUGAGAGAAGAGUCCCUCUGUGCAGUUGCACAACUACACAAAAUCAGCAACAUUUUAAA